GGCGAACGCUGGCGGCGUGCCUAAUACAUGCAAGUUGAGCGCUGAAGGUUGGUACUUGUACCAACUGGAUGAGCAGCGAACGGGUGAGUAACGCGUGGGGAAUCUGCCUUUGAGCGGGGGACAACAUUUGGAAACGAAUGCUAAUACCGCAUAAAAACUUUAAACACAAGUUUUAAGUUUGAAAGAUGCAAUUGCAUCACUCAAAGAUGAUCCCGCGUUGUAUUAGCUAGUUGGUGAGGUAAAGGCUCACCAAGGCGAUGAUACAUAGCCGACCUGAGAGGGUGAUCGGCCACAUUGGGACUGAGACACGGCCCAAACGCCUACGGGAGGCAGCAGUAGGGAAUCUUCGGCAAUGGACGAAAGUCUGACCGAGCAACGCCGCGUGAGUGAAGAAGGUUGUCGGAUCGUAAAACUCUGUUGGUAGAGAAGAACGUUGGUGAGAGUGGAAAGCUCAUCAAGUGACGGUAACUACCCAGAAAGGGACGGCUAACUACGUG
This 497-nucleotide ribosomal RNA is filed under the name uncultured bacterium. RNAcentral describes it as "partial 16S ribosomal RNA". It matches the Rfam family "Bacterial small subunit ribosomal RNA", at positions 28 to 507 of the family's 1533-position model. The record is from RNAcentral.